GGAAAGAAAGAAAAGAAAAGGAAAAGACGAAAGGAAGAAGAAGGGAAAAAGAGAGAGAGAGAGAGAGAGAGAGAGACGUCAGCUUCCAUGGCCGACGGAGGAGGCGCCCGUCUAGGGCUCGGCGAAGCUGGCCGGAGGUGCAACUAGCGCCGCCGAGCUCAAGGGUGGCAAAGGUGGCAGCGUUAGGGACGACGGCAGGCGGCGAAAAGGGAGGAAAGCAGCAACUUUUUUGGACGCCGUUCAUAGCGUUUCCGGCGUCGGUAGCCACUAUUUUUGGUGGCGAUCGACUCCCCUUGGCCUGGGCUUCAUUUUGGCAGCAGUAGCGACGCGACGCUAAUGGUGGCUGGAGUUGGAAGUUCGCGGUGGAAAGAGAAAAUGGAUGGCAGCCGGCGUUUUCUGGUUUUUCCGGCGAGCUCCGGCGACUUUGGCUGAUCAGAGGACAUAUCUGGACUUUUCUCAGCUCAAGCUUUCUAAUGGCACCGGUUUCGUGGCGAUCGGACUCCGUUUGAAAAUUGACGACCGAGAUCAUCCGUAAAUCUCUUUGAAUGAUCGGGGGUCGGAUCAGAAGAUCAGAAGCGGGGAUCAUCAUCAGCGCAUCGUUUCGAGUCCAUUGGUGCAUUCAGAUCAUCGAUCGAACUCCGGCAGCUGGGGGCGAGUCGACCGAGCGAUCAAGCGUCUCUAUAAUCCAUCAGUUCGGCUCGCUCCACCCGAGGCCUCGGAGCAGAGCUAGGAGGUCGUCAAAGCUUACGAUUUUAUUGUUUUGUGUUGACUCGAGAUGGGACGACUGUAGAACAUGAACCAGAGACAAAAAAUAAAGGAGUAAAGGUCUGUAAAUUUUAAAAAGGUAAAUUAGGAAUUGCCCUGGUCGAGCAUUACUCUCUGGGUUGAGUAGAGUGAGUGUGCCGGAGUAAAGAUCCCUGGUCGAGCAUUGCUCUCUGGUCGCCGCCUUAUUUGGAAACCUAAGUGACCAGACUGGAGUUAAGGACCCUGGUUGAGCUACGCUCUCUGGGCGCCAGUCUUAUUGGAGUAAGAGAGCCGAAAGGCUAAGAGUGUUAGUGAUAAUUAAGUGUCUGAACUGGAUUUAAGGAUCCUAGUUGAGUUUCGCUCUUUGGGCGCCAGUUCUGUUAGAAUGAGAGAGAGUCGAGAUGUUUAGUGUUGGGAUUAGGGUUCUGCUGAGGCACUCCGUCCCGUAGUAGGUGAAAAUUAUUUUA
Ricinus communis (castor bean) is the source of this 1211-nucleotide long non-coding RNA. RefSeq lists it as uncharacterized. The transcript is spliced from 3 exons. Lineage: Eukaryota; Viridiplantae; Streptophyta; Magnoliopsida; Malpighiales; Euphorbiaceae. The record is from RefSeq and is a predicted model, not a curated record.